RNAcentral lists this ribosomal RNA (464 nucleotides) under uncultured bacterium. Its description in RNAcentral is "partial 16S ribosomal RNA". It matches the Rfam family "Bacterial small subunit ribosomal RNA", at positions 29 to 507 of the family's 1533-position model. The record is from RNAcentral.
ACGAACGCUGGCGGCGUGCUUCACACCUGCAAGUCGAACGGAAAGGCCUCUUUGGGGGUACUCGAGUGGCGAACGGGUGAGUAACACGUGAGUAACCUGCCCUUGACUUCGGGAUAACUUCAGGAAACUGGGGCUAAUACCGGAUAGGAAUCCUUGCUGCAUGGUGGGGGUUGGAAAGCUUCGGCGGUUUUGGAUGGACUCGCGGCUUAUCAGCUUGUUGGUGGGGUAGUGGCUUACCAAGGCUUUGACGGGUAGCCGGCCUGAGAGGGCGACCGGCCACAUUGGGACUGAGAUACGGCCCAGACUCCUACGGGAGGCAGCAGUGGGGAAUAUUGCACAAUGGGCGGAAGCCUGAUGCAGCAACGCCGCGUGCGGGAUGACGGCCUUCGGGUUGUAAACCGCUUUCAGCAGGGGCAAAGCUUGUGGUGACGGUACCUGCAGAAGAAGCACCGGCUAACUACGUG